This 465-nucleotide ribosomal RNA is filed under the name uncultured bacterium. RNAcentral describes it as "partial 16S ribosomal RNA". It matches the Rfam family "Bacterial small subunit ribosomal RNA", at positions 28 to 507 of the family's 1533-position model. The record is from RNAcentral.
GACGAACGCUGGCGGCGUGCUUAACACGUGCAAGUCGAGCGGUAAGGCCCCUUCGGGGGUACACGAGCGGCGAACGGGUGAGUAACACGUGAGCAAUCUGCCCAUCACAUCGGGAUAACUCCGGGAAACCGAAGCUAAUACCGAAUACGACCACCUCCGGCAUCGGAUGGUGGUGGAAAGUUCCGGCGGUGAUGGAUGAGCUCGCGGCCUAUCAGCUUGUUGGUGGGGUAACGGCCCACCAAGGCUUCGACGGGUAGCCGGCCUGAGAGGGUGACCGGCCACACUGGGACUGAGACACGGCCCAGACUCCUACGGGAGGCAGCAGUGGGGAAUAUUGGACAAUGGGCGAAAGCCUGAUCCAGCAACGCCGCGUGAGGGAUGACGGCCUUCGGGUUGUAAACCUCUUUCAGCAGGGACGAAGCGCAAGUGACGGUACCUGCAGAAGAAGCACCGGCCAACUACGUG